Molecule: non-coding RNA, 42 nt
Filed under: Eutreptiella gymnastica
Lineage: Eukaryota; Euglenozoa; Euglenophyceae; Eutreptiales; Eutreptiaceae
Source: RNAcentral
UGGAAGAAACAAAAAAAAGAAAAUUGGAAAAAUGGAAAAAAA